CCCAGAGGGGCAGGUGCCCGGCCGACUCUCAUAAGGUUGGAAUACCCGGUUCGAUUCCGGGCUCUGCUA
This 69-nucleotide transfer RNA is filed under the name Gimesia algae. Its description in RNAcentral is "Planctomycetes bacterium Pan161 tRNA-Met". The record is from RNAcentral. Lineage: Bacteria; Pseudomonadati; Planctomycetota; Planctomycetia; Planctomycetales; Planctomycetaceae.